Molecule: ribosomal RNA, 467 nt
Filed under: uncultured bacterium
Lineage: Bacteria
Description: bacterial SSU rRNA
Rfam family: Bacterial small subunit ribosomal RNA
Source: RNAcentral
AAUCAACGCUGGCGGCGUGCCUAACACAUGCAAGUCGAACGCGGUUGCCUCGCAAGGGGCAACUGAGUGGCGAACGGGUGAGUAACACGUGGGUGACCUACCUUCGAGUGGGGGAUAACGUCCCGAAGGGACGCUAAUACCGCAUAACAUCCUGCCUUUGAACAGGCGGAGAUCAAAGCCGGGGCUCGUAAGACCUGGCGUUUGGAGGAGGGGCCCGCGUCCGAUUAGCUAGUUGGUGAGGUAACGGCCCACCAAGGCGACGAUCGGUAACCGGCCUGAGAGGGCGGACGGUCACACUGGGACUGAGACACGGCCCAGACUCCUACGGGAGGCAGCAGUGGGGAAUUGUUCGCAAUGGGCGCAAGCCUGACGACGCAACGCCGCGUGAGGACGAAGGUCUUCGAUUGUAAACUCCUGUUGCCCGGGACGAAUAGCUUUGACCUAAUACGUCAAAGUCUGACGGUACC